CAUCUAGGGGCUCAGUCAGUAGAGUAUGUGACUCUUGAUCUCAGGGUUGUGAGUUCAAGACUCACGUUACAUGA
This 74-nucleotide transfer RNA is filed under the name Felis catus (domestic cat). The stretch from base 9 to 65 matches the Rfam family "tRNA", at positions 9 to 63 of the family's 71-position model. Rfam says of the family: Transfer RNA (tRNA) molecules are approximately 80 nucleotides in length. Their secondary structure includes four short double-helical elements and three loops (D, anti-codon, and T loops). Lineage: Eukaryota; Metazoa; Chordata; Mammalia; Carnivora; Felidae. The record is from Rfam by way of RNAcentral.